CGGUUGGGCCGGUGCAGUGCACCGGUCGGACAACGGGUCAGGGUCGGAAGGCAGCAGCCCAUCCGGCUCGGUCCACGUGCAUCGUAAACCUGGCCUAA
RNAcentral lists this signal recognition particle RNA (98 nucleotides) under Phycisphaerae bacterium. Its description in RNAcentral is "signal recognition particle sRNA small type". It matches the Rfam family "Bacterial small signal recognition particle RNA". Rfam says of the family: The signal recognition particle (SRP) is a universally conserved ribonucleoprotein involved in the co-translational targeting of proteins to membranes. Archaeal SRP consists of a 7S RNA and homologues of the eukaryotic SRP19 and SRP54 proteins. In most bacteria, the SRP consists of a 4.5S RNA and the Ffh protein (a homologue of the eukaryotic SRP54 protein). Lineage: Bacteria; Pseudomonadati; Planctomycetota; Phycisphaerae. The record is from RNAcentral.